AUGAACGCUGGCGGCGUGCCUAAUACAUGCAAGUCGAGCGAACAGACGAGGAGCUUACUCCUCUGACGUUAGCGGCGGACGGGUGAGUAACACGUGGAUAACCUACCUAUAAGACUGGGAUAACUUCGGGAAACCGGAGCUAAUACCGGAUAACAUGUUGAACCGCAUGGUUCAACAGUGAAAGACGGUCUUGCUGUCACUUAUAGAUGGAUCCGCGUCGCAUUAGCUAGUUGGUAAGGUAACGGCUUACCAAGGCAACGAUGCGUAGCCGACCUGAGAGGGUGAUCGGCCACACUGGAACUGAGACACGGUCCAGACUCCUACGGGAGGCAGCAGUAGGGAAUCUUCCGCAAUGGGCGAAAGCCUGACGGAGCAACGCCGCGUGAGUGAAGAAGGUCUUCGGAUCGUAAAACUCUGUUAUUAGGGAAGAACAAAUGUGUAAGUAACUAUGCACGUCUUGACGGUACCUAAUCAGAAAGCCACGGCUAACUACGUA
This 496-nucleotide ribosomal RNA is filed under the name uncultured bacterium. RNAcentral describes it as "partial 16S ribosomal RNA". It matches the Rfam family "Bacterial small subunit ribosomal RNA", at positions 29 to 507 of the family's 1533-position model. The record is from RNAcentral.